GUUUAAUGUGGCAAAUUAUUGACACCAGCGGCCACUACAAAGCCGACUGUGAGGAACAGCCAGGCCAGUGGGUCAAAUACAGUGACCACUCUGUCUCAGUGAGAUCUGAGGAGGCCCUCCUCAAAGACAGGGAGAAGACGGCCUACAUACUUUUUUACAUCAAAAAGUGAGGCGGAUUACCCCCCUCCCCAACCCAUCUGCCUUGGUCUGCCCUCCCCCAUCAUCAUCAGGGGUAAAAGCUGUCAGCACCACUCCAGCAGGCUGGCAAGCAAUGGGUGACCCAUUCAUAAAGGUCAAGGUCAGAGCGUCCCUACCCAACGUGAAUGAUAUCUACCACAAGAGGGUGGAGUCGAGGGCAAGAAACAUCACCUGUUGCCGUCGGGUAGACGCCUACGCAGUCUAAACUCAAGGACUGAGAGACUUAGGAGGAGUUUUUACCCAUAGGCAGUGAGACACUUGAUCUCAAUUUUUUAAUUCAGCACCUUAUUUUUAUAUUUUAAUUUUUUAUUUAAUUUUUUGUACAGUGUGAAGCAUUGACCCUUUCACUUUCACUACAUUUGUUGUAUGUGACAAAUAAAACACUUGAAUCUUGAAUCAGAUACAUUUGUAUUACACCAACAUCAAUGUCUGCUGGAGAAUGCAUUCACUGUAUUGAGCACAUCAUUGGCAUCUUAAGCGACAGAUUUAUUAAGCUAGAUUUUAACGCAACAUGGAAAGUUUUACCAAAACAUCCCCACCUACAGCCUGAGGUUUUUUAUAUUCUUAGAUAAAUAGAAGGUGCUAAAGGGCAUCGCAGCAGGAUCAUCAUGAGUGCUCUUCACAUGAAAACAAAAUGACACAUUCCUCUGCACAUAGGGAUGGGAGACAUGGUCACAUCACAGUUUAUCUAGGAAAGGGAAUUGAUAUAAGUUUAUUUAACAAAAACCCAGACAAUUUUUUACAUUUCGUUUGAGAAGAUUAGUGGCCCAUGAAGUCAUACAUAGGGGUUUUGUACUACAGCCUGCCACCAAUAGGGGAUAA
This is a long non-coding RNA of Clupea harengus (Atlantic herring), 1020 nucleotides long. The record is from Ensembl. Lineage: Eukaryota; Metazoa; Chordata; Actinopteri; Clupeiformes; Clupeidae.